CUUCUUGGCAUCAGCUGCUGUCCCUCUGUCUCAAGGGAAGCAGCAUCUGGGAAGUCGACAGACUUCAAGGACUGGGUAAGUCAACUAGAGUGCACCUGGAAAUCCUCUGUCUCUGGCCUCUGGGCUCUCCAGCUAUCUACAGCAGUAUUGGUCGUCUGUGCUGCCAUCUUGGCCUCUGUGCCAUCUAGACCUAACACAGGUUAGUCUGUGGUGCCUUUUGGACCUCUGUGAAGUCUGGACCCAACACAGGUCAUCUGUGGUGCCAUCUGGGUUUGAGACAAGAUCUCAGGACUUUUCCCCAGCCUCCCUUCUUCAGGGAGCAGUUUGGAGUCCCCUGUCUGCAUCUGCAUCUGUGUUUGUGUCUCUGUUUAUUGUUACCCCUCUCUUUGAGGGUGCUUUGGCAUGGUCUCCAUCCCACCAGCCAAGACUAAGUCAGAAAGUAGCAAGAUGGGUUGCUGCUCUCCUCCCUAGGGGAGAAACAGUUUCCAACAUCCCAGCCCUGGAUUUUGUCAUCGUCUUUGGGACUCUAGUGUACUUCCUGUAUCUGUGUCAAGCUUUGUAGGGGGAGAAAGCAUGUGAACUCUUUUCUAGACUAUCUGGGACUUGAGCUGGUUACAUAUUAUGGCCAGUUUCUGUGCACAUUUUACACUGAUAGGCAAAUGACAGUAAAGAAAAUCCAGAGCUCAAAUGGUUAACAUGGAACUAUAAAGGUCUCACUGGAUCAGGCACUGUGGCUGCAAAUUCUGCUCACCCACCCCCAAGGAAGAAAAGGAAGAACUGUUUUUUCAGGAAAUCUCCAAAAAAUUUGCUCUUUCCAGGUUCUCAUAUCCCAUGGGUGAGCCCCUUCAUCUUUUCUCUCCAGGAAAUAAGAUGCUGCUAAAAUCCUGAGAAAACCAAGGGCCAGACCAAUAGCUAGCCAAAGAGUGGACAGGACCUCAUGAUGGCAUAGGAUGGUUGACAGUGGUGCAAAUCCAGGUAAAGCAUUUUUUUGAUGCAUGCUCUAUGCAUCAAAAAACACAACAGCAGCAUACUCCAUGAUAUGAGAUGGUUAUCUCUUCAACAAUGUGACAAAACUCUUCAACUGACUGAUAAUAUGUGGCUAGGAUGGCAAAAUCAGAGUAGUCUUUGUAACAGAGCCUAUCCUUCCUCCUGGGUUUGGCUGUGGGCCUGAAGCCCUCAUGGUUGGCCUUACUUAUCUUAUAACUGGACUGGCAGAUGCACCUGCAGGCACCCUUACCCACCAGGAUGUAUCCUGUCCCAUCUAGACUCUCCCUGCCAAUUGGGAAAGCAUAGCUAGACACUGCCAUAAAAAAUGAUCAUUCCCAGUUGUUCUACCCACUAGCCAUCUUUUCCUCCCAGGCGGCAGCCAAAUAUAUAUCAUUACAAAUAGAGGCCCUGGCUAAACAUAUGACCACUGCCUUUAAUAACACCCAUCAUGCCAUCACCCUUCUCACAAAAGAAAGCUCACAGAUUAGACAAGUGGCCCUGUAGAAAUGUGUGGCCUUAGGCAUCCUGACUGCAGCCCAAGGAAGCACUUGUGCACUGAUAAGACUGAAUGUUAUAUAUAUAUACCAGAUUAUUCUCAUUAAAACCCAAGCUAUACAUGCAUUGGACACCCAUAUUUCUACUAUCAAUGUUCUCUCCCAGGACCCCAUAACAGCAUGGUUUAGUCAACUUCCUAAUGCAUGACAGACUUUUAUGUACAGUACAAUUGGUAUUCCGUUCAUUGUCCUCUUUGUCUGUUGUGGACUUUAUUACUAUUAUGUACUUUGCAUGGGGAUGCAGGACAGACUUUCUCAGAAGCUUCUAGGUCCUCACAGCAUAAUGCUCCAGCAAGUUCCUGCUGUGAGUCUGGGGACUGGAGACUAUUUCCAAGGCCAGGUUAAUGAAUUCCAUUCUGAUACCCCUACUACAGCCCUUUGCAGCAGGAAGUGGACAGAUCGACUGUGUCACCCACUUUCCAUAGAAAUGAAAUGGAAUUUGACAGUGGGGAAUUGUAACUGAGUAUCUCAGUCUCAAAUGCAUUUUCAAACUUUUUUCUUUCUUUCUUGCCUUAGGCCUUGACAUACUUUGAAACUCUUUGUUUCUCCCUUUUCCACCAGGCACUUCUGUGAACAGUGUUCACUUACCUAAUUAUGUGCUUGCUUAGAAAUUCCAGGGGUCAAUUUUGAAACAAACCAGGCAGCGAGACCCCAGCGUAGAAUCCUCUCAGUCAAGGGGAGUUAGGAAUAGUGAGCCCACCACCACCAUGCCAAAGUCAGGAUGAUGCAAACUGGAUCUCCUGAUGGGUGACUACUCAAGAUAACCAUGGAAAUGAGACAUGCAGAUCCCCUUUUCACCACUCUCACAUGUUUCUCACACCUUUUCCUUCUUAAGCCCCUCUCUCAGCCCAGGAGAAUGAGAUGGCUCCUUUAAGGCUUAAGCCCAGCCAUUCUCACAUCUGCCAACAUUUGACCAAUAAAAUCUGCUUUCCUUCUACCACACCUCACUUCUCAUGCUUUGACUUCUGAGUGAUGAGCAGCUGGACUUGAGCCGGUUACAGGAGGCUAAAAAAGAGUCAUUAAAGUGAGAGGCUCCAUGUGGGUGGUGUGCCUGGGAUUGAGAAGUAUGGUGAACUCAGAUCUCAUCCAGAAAAGAAGGCCAACCACUUAUGGGAUCACUCACAAUUAUGAAUGCAUCCAUUGCCCCAGUAAAAGAGAAAGACAUUGAUAAACAAAGAGAAAUUGCCCUCUUUUCUCAGCCCCACUCCCUGCCUCUGUGCAGCAGUUCAUUUCCUCAGCACUAGAGUUCCAUACACCAGGGAUGGCAGACACAAACGUCUUGGGGCCAGGCAAAAAAAGGUGACUCUUAAUACCUCCAGCACAUCUGUAGGAUGCAGUGGGAGGUGUCCUUCCAAGAUCCUGUUCUGAUAAUUAGUCAGUUUUCCAGCAACGUCCUUUUUUUUUUUUUUUUUUUUUUGGCUGAAUGCACACGGGCUUUGUCUUAUGGGAGUUCCAAACAUGGGUCCUCUGGUCCCCACCCACUGGGGUAUUAGCUGAUUCCUGAACUGAACUCAUUGUAUUCUGAUUACAGUGGCUUUCUAGAAAGGUGUGACAUCUAGUCAGAAAAGUGCUUCUCAUGUUUUUGCUGAAACCUGGAGUCUUGUUAAAAGGCAGAUUCUGAUAGGCAGGUCUGGGUGGGCUUUGUGAUCCUGAGCCCUUAAGAGUCUCUUCGGCAAUGUAGUUGCUGCUGGUCCUGGUUUGAGGACCAUGCUGAAUAAUGAGCUCUAGAGCUCAUUUUGCUUCUACUUUUUUCACUCUGUGCUGUUUUUAAGAUCUUCCCAUGUUGCAUGGCUUCUGAUGGGUAAAUAAUCUAUUCCAUGGCGUGCACUCCCCAGUUUUCUGAUCCAGUCAUUCUGAAAUGGACCCUGGCUGCUUUUAGCUCCUCACACAGCUGUGCUGAGGGCAGCAUCUGCACGGUGACCCCCACCGGCUGCAGGAGAGCUUGCCUAGGGUGUGAGCAUACACUUAAUUUGUAGAGGCCCCCCUCCUUGGUUGACAGUGGCAGAAACAUAUCAGCCUCUGAGCACCCACGCCAAGAAGCAAUGCCAACACUUGGCAUACCCAGUGUUUUGUUAUUCCGAUGGGCUAAAGUGACCCACUUCUGUGUAAUUUCCAUUUUCCAACAAAUCAUGUAUUCUCUUCAUGUUUGGGAGCACUUGGAGUUUCUUUCUGUUUUUGCCUAUUUUCAUCCUUUGUUUGCUUUUCUAAUACAGUUGUAAUCUUCCAUUUGGUAAUUUACAGGGAUAUAUCUGUAUCUGUGUAUAUUACACUAGAUAGCAGUCCUUUUUCCAUUUCAGAUAUUGAAUAUAUCUUGCUCCAGUCCAUUACUUGCCCGUUAAGUUUGUCUCAAGUGUCCUUUGUUGAGCAGAAAUCCUUGAUGUAAACAAAUUCAUCCCUUUGGCCUGAUGAUUUUUACUUUCUGGGUUUUAAGAAGUCCUUACUCACCUCUCUGUCGUAAUUCUCCCACGUCAUUUUUUAUUCACUUGUGGUUUUAUUUUUUACUUUUAAGGUUUUUAAUGUUUCUAGAAGCUACCUCUGUAUGUAAUGAUUAUAGAGAAAAAUAAA
This 4106-nucleotide long non-coding RNA is filed under the name Homo sapiens (human). RNAcentral describes it as "HSALNT0060112". The record is from RNAcentral. Lineage: Eukaryota; Metazoa; Chordata; Mammalia; Primates; Hominidae.